Molecule: ribosomal RNA, 318 nt
Filed under: Triticum aestivum (bread wheat)
Lineage: Eukaryota; Viridiplantae; Streptophyta; Magnoliopsida; Poales; Poaceae
Description: partial small subunit ribosomal RNA
Source: RNAcentral
AUAUCAGCAUCGCUCACACUCCGGCGUGCAUACCUCAUGCUCUCCUCGAAGUGAGCAGCCUUGAUCUCGUCCACCUCGUCUUCCUCCAUGGCUUCAGGGUUUUCCUUCAGCCGCCUCUCCUUUUCCAUGUCCUUCUCAAUGUUCUCUCUGAUGGCGUAUUUGCACGCACGCUGGCAGAUUUCCAUGAUGUCCGCGCCGCUGAACCCUUGUGUGUAUUUGGCGAGCGCAUUCAGGUCGACAUCCUUGGCCACAGGAGACUUCCUGAGGCAGGCCCUGAAGAUCUGGAGCCUGGAUUCAACAUCAGGCAGAGGAAUGUAG